Molecule: ribosomal RNA, 486 nt
Filed under: uncultured bacterium
Lineage: Bacteria
Description: partial 16S ribosomal RNA
Rfam family: Bacterial small subunit ribosomal RNA
Source: RNAcentral
GACGAACGCUGGCGGCGUGCUUAACACAUGCAAGUCGAACGCUGAAGACCUGGCUUUUGUUGGGUUGGAUGAGUGGCGAAAGGGUGAGUAACACGUGAGUAACCUGCCCUCCUCUUUGGGAUAACGCCCGGAAACGGGUGCUAAUACUGGAUAUUCACUGGCCUUCGCAUGGGGGUUGGUGGAAAGGUUUGUUCUGGUGGGGGAUGGGCUCGCGGCCUAUCAGCUUGUUGGUGGGGUGAUGGCCUACCAAGGCUUUGACGGGUAGCCGGCCUGAGAGGGUGACCGGUCACAUUGGGACUGAGAUACGGCCCAGACUCCUACGGGAGGCAGCAGUGGGGAAUAUUGCACAAUGGGCGAAAGCCUGAUGCAGCGACGCCGCGUGAGGGAUGGAGGCCUUCGGGUUGUAAACCUCUUUCGCUCAUGGUCAAGCCGCAACUGUGGGUUGUGGUGAGGGUAGUGGGAAAAGAAGCGCCGGCUAACUACGUG